GAUGAACGCUGGCGGCGUGCCUAAUACAUGCAAGUCGAGCGAACAGACGCUGCUCUUGCUGCUCUCACGUUAGCGGCGGACGUGUGUGUAACGCGUGUAUACCCUCCCUGUAAGACUGGUAUAACUUCGAGACACCGGAGCUAAUCCCGGAUAAUCUCUUGAACCGCAUGGUUCGAUAGUGAAAGACGGUGUUGCUGUAACUUCUAGAUGGUUCCGCGCUGCUUGAGCUAGUUGGUAAGGUAACGGCUUACCAAGGCAACGAUGCGUAGCCGACCGGCGAGGGGGAUCGGCCACACUGGAAGUGAGACACGGUCCAGAGGACUACGGGAGGCAGCAGUAGGGAAUCGGCCGCAAUGGGCGAAAGCCUGACGGAGCAACGCCGCGUGAGUGAUGAAGGUCUUCGGAUCGUAAAACUCUGUUAUUAGGGAAGAACAUAUGUGUAAGUAACUGUGCACGUCUUGACGGUACCUAAUCAGAAAGCCACGGCUAACUACGUG
Molecule: ribosomal RNA, 497 nt
Filed under: uncultured bacterium
Lineage: Bacteria
Description: partial 16S ribosomal RNA
Rfam family: Bacterial small subunit ribosomal RNA
Source: RNAcentral